RNAcentral lists this ribosomal RNA (508 nucleotides) under uncultured bacterium. Its description in RNAcentral is "partial 16S ribosomal RNA". It matches the Rfam family "Bacterial small subunit ribosomal RNA", at positions 28 to 523 of the family's 1533-position model. The record is from RNAcentral.
GAUGAACGCUAGCUACAGGCUUAACACAUGCAAGUCGAGGGGAAACGAUAGAGAAAGCUUGCUUUUUCUAGGCGUCGACCGGCGCACGGGUGAGUAACGCGUAUCCAACCUGCCCAUCACUUGGGGAUAACCUUGCGAAAGUAAGACUAAUACCCAAUGAUAUCUCUAGAAGACAUCUGAAGGAGAUUAAAGAAUUAUCGGUGAUGGAUGGGGAUGCGUCUGAUUAGCUUGUUGGCGGGGUAACGGCCCACCAAGGCGACGAUCAGUAGGGGUUCUGAGAGGACGGUCCCCCACAUUGGAACUGAGACACGGUCCGAACUCCUACGGGAGGCAGCAGUGAGGAAUAUUGGUCAAUGGACGAGAGUUUGAACCAGCCAAGUAGCGUGCAGGAUGACGGCCCUAUGGGUUGUAAACUGCUUUUAUAAGGGAAUAAAGUGAGUCUCGUGAGACUUUUUGCAUGUACCUUAUGAAUAAGGACCGGCUAAUUCCGUGCCAGCCGCCGCCGUAA